GUCACUAUAUUUUUUUUUGUAAAAGUCAUUUUAUUAUCGAAUAAUUUAGUAUUGUGGAAUAUAUGUAUUGUUAAAGAAUGUUUAUACAUAAUUUAAUUCAGAGCUUGCGCUUACCAGCAGUACUGAAAAUCCUGGCAUCGCCUUUUCCGGCCGUAAUGUCAAGUUUCGUUAGAAAAACAAAAACAAUUCAAUAAGGUUUGCUCUUCGAACGUCAAAACAAAGCAGGCGAAGUAAUUCUGCCGGCCCUCUGCUGCUGCUAGAGUUCGAAAUUACGCAUAUUCGAUAUUAGUUAUUAAUUACUAAUAUUUUUUUGUCCUUCUAAAUAUUUUGCGCGGAAAACUUCGACUCCAUGGUUCAAUGAUUAAGGUAUCUGCCUAUUAAUCGUAAGGUCGUGGUUUCGAUUCCAAGCGGAAAAGUCUUUAUUAUGAGCUGAUUUUUGUUUACUUUAAUUUUUUUUUUAAAUCGCAAUCUCAAAAUAAACUGUUAUAUUCAAUAUUUUUUUUUAAAUGGGGGUUCUUAAUAAUUGAGAUUGUUUUAAACAUGCAAAUUUGUAGAGGUAUAUUAUAGUCUGUCACAAAGUCCUCGCGAUUCCUUGAUAGAUUAGAGGCGUGCAUGUCGGUCCAGUAUACUAAAGCACUAAGGUUCGAAUCCCAGGUUUACAACAUAAAUUAACAGCAAUUUUUAAGGAAUACAUUAAAAAUAAUGAUUACAAAAUUAGGAGAUGGUAAGGGGAAAUUUUUUUUCUUUGAUUUUGGGUUAUGAAUGCGACCUGAUUUAGCCCGGAUUUUCAGCGCGGAUUCAGGUCUGAAUCAGAGGCGAUUUCGAGACAAUUUUCACGCCGGAAUCCGGAUUCGAAAUCCGGGCGGAUUCUGGGCUGAUUCAUGCCUGAAAUCGAAUUUCGGGCCGGGAGGACAUUUUCAGGGUAAUGGUACCCACCCAGCAGUACUGGAUUGGUCAGGAUCAUAAAUCAAUUUGAUCACUGAACGAGUAGCAUUGAUGAUAUCACUAAAUUGUCACCAUACAAAGCUUCGGAUCGAAUGCACUGGAGGACAACCAAGGAUGAACAAAGCAGGAGUAACUGUACUCGUUGUUUCUUCAUGAAUAUUUCAGCUAGCGCAUGGAAGCCCCGUUAUAACCGAAAAACCAGCUUAACCACUUACUCAUUGAGUAUUUAUUAGCACAUCCCCUUUUUGUGGACCUGGAAGGAAAGAUCUACUAAUCGGCAUUGAACACUAUUACUCGCUGCUUGAUCCAAAAGGACAAAUAGUCGGAAAAGAUGCUGCCAUGCUGCAAAACACAAAACAUAAAGGGAUUGGAAGCAAAAUGAAUCAAAUCCUAAACUAAAUCAGUCAUAUCAAGGGGAGUCGGCUUUGUGCAAAACGUCAAGCUUAAAAUCUCUACUCCACUUCAGAUCUCACGGGGUAUUCAUGGCGGAAAUACAAAGUAUAUACUGGCAAGUGUGAAAUAAUCUAUAUAAUAGAUUCUAUCACCUUAUAAUUUGCCUAAAUACAAUCGAAUUAAAACAAAUAUGGAACCAAGACAUCAAAAUGCCUGAAUCAUGUAGCAAUCAUAUCACGGGUCAACUAGCCGAUACCAUCGGCUACACUCGAAAAUGGCUUCUUUGUAGAUACUUCCUGGAAUAAUUCAAGUGCAUACGGAACUGAAUAAAAUACUACUGCCACACAGUAUUAAAACUACGAAGAAUGGUGAUCAAAUAAUGCAGAACUGGUUAAUAAAAAACCCAAAGAGGAAGCCGUGAGAGACGUAAAACCAAUACAGUAUCAAAGCCAUUGGCCUCAUAUAAUUUUAACAGUAUUCUUACAAAUUUUUACAACAGUGAACUGGUAAUAACAAAACGAGUGGACUGCUUUGAGUUAUUACAAAUUUCAACCCAAAAAGGGCUUUUUUUGCGCCAGUUGUAGUAAAGCCAAAAGUAUUCAUUCGAUUAAAACAAAGUUUAUAAAAUAUCCAAACGUAAACAUUGUUAUCUUAUGAUCGGGAAGAUUAUGUUGUGAAGAUGUUUAUAUUAGAUUAUCUGUAACUAA
Long non-coding RNA from Drosophila ananassae, 2045 nucleotides. RefSeq lists it as uncharacterized. The record is from RefSeq and is a predicted model, not a curated record. Lineage: Eukaryota; Metazoa; Arthropoda; Insecta; Diptera; Drosophilidae. The transcript is spliced from 2 exons.